This 622-nucleotide ribosomal RNA is filed under the name Pseudozyma sp. TS-2014. RNAcentral's name for it is "eukaryotic LSU rRNA". It matches the Rfam family "Eukaryotic large subunit ribosomal RNA", at positions 65 to 664 of the family's 3401-position model. The record is from RNAcentral. Lineage: Eukaryota; Fungi; Basidiomycota; Ustilaginomycetes; Ustilaginales; Ustilaginaceae.
CCAUUCUGGCAUUCCCUAGUACGGCGAGUGAAGAGGGAAGAGCCCAAGAUUGAAAGCUGGCGUCUUCGGCGUCCGCAUUGUAAUCUCAAGAAGUGUUUUCCGCUUCGGACCAUGCCUAAGUCCCUUGGAAAAGGGCAUCAUAGAGGGUGAUAAUCCCGUACAUGGCAUGGAGCGCCCGAAGCUUUGUGAUACGCUUUCUAAGAGUCGAGUUGUUUGGGAAUGCAGCUCAAAAUGGGUGGUAAAUGCCAUCUAAGGCUAAAUAGUGGGGAGAGACCGAUAGCGAACAAGUACAGUGAUGGAAAGAUGAAAAGAACUUUGAAAAGAGAGUUAAAAAGUACGUGAAAUUGCCAAAAGGGAAGGGUAGGAGGUCAGAGAUGCGUCUUGGGAUUCAGCCUUGCUUUUUGCAUGGUGUUUUUCCCAAGUUGCAGGCCAACGUCGGUUUUGGGCACUGGAGAAGGGUGGAAGGAACGUGGCACCUCUCGGGGUGUGUUAUAGCCUUCUACUGGAUACAGCGACCGAGACCGAGGACAGCAGCGUACUCGCAAGAGCGGGCCUUCGGGCACCUUUACGCUUAGGGCGUUGGCAUAAUGGCCCUCUACCACCCGUCUUGAACCACGGGACC